CAUGCAAGCAUAGCAGCGUUGCCUGCAGGCGCAGAGGGGGGGCAGCAGCGGGAGACAGCAGCAGCGCCCGCGCCCAUGGCUGCGCAUGCAAGCACAGAGGGGGGGCAGCAUGAGAAAGGAGAGGCCCAGGGGAAAGGGUCCCAGGGGAAACGGGUCCAGGGGCAAGCUGGCGGGUCAAGGAAGCGGCGCAAGGCAGAUAGGCCAAGGCAUCCAACUGGGCGCAAGCAGGGUGACAUGAACAAGGUUCCUGAGCUGCAGAGGCAGUAUUUUGAGGACAGGGGGAAUGGACUGGCCAAGUGCUUGCCAUGCAGCUGGAUGGAGAAGCAGGAUGUGCUUGUCUCGUUGCACAGG
Molecule: long non-coding RNA, 351 nt
Filed under: Dunaliella salina
Lineage: Eukaryota; Viridiplantae; Chlorophyta; Chlorophyceae; Chlamydomonadales; Dunaliellaceae
Description: long non-coding RNA (DSAL_LNC000446)
Source: RNAcentral